RNAcentral lists this transfer RNA (69 nucleotides) under Culex quinquefasciatus (southern house mosquito). RNAcentral's name for it is "tRNA-Thr". The record is from RNAcentral. Lineage: Eukaryota; Metazoa; Arthropoda; Insecta; Diptera; Culicidae.
GGCCAGGCCGAAUGGUUACGCUGUCCGCUUAGUUAGUAGAAGAUCGUGGGAUCGAUUCCCAUCUGCUCC